CACAGACAACCAGGAUGUUGGCUUAGAAGCAGCCACUCAUUCAAAGAGUGCGUAAUAGCUCACUGGUCGAGUGAUCCUGCGCCGAAGAUUUCCGGGGCUAAAACUUACUACCGAAGCUACGGCAUCAGUAAUGAUGGGUAGGGGAGCUUCCCAUACGGGUUGAAGCAUGACCGUAAGGACAUGUGGACAGUAUGGGAGUGAGAAUGUUGGCAUGAGUAGCGAGAUGUGGGUGAGAAUCCCACAGGCCGUAAACCCAAGGUUUCCAGGGGAAGGUUCGUCCGCCCUGGGUUAGUCGGGACCUAAGCUGAGGCCGAAAGGCGUAGGUGAUGGACAACAGGUUGAUAUUCCUGUACUACCGAUAACCGUUUGAGAGAAGGGAUGACACAGUAGGAUAAGCUAAGCACACUGUUGGUUAUGUGUGCCCAAGCAUUGAGGCAGUCAAAGUAGGCAAAUCCGCUUUGAUAAUGCUGGGAUGUGAUGGGGAGCGAAAUUUAGUAGCGAAGUAGCUGAUUUCACACUGUCAAGAAAAGUCUCUAUCGAGGUUAAAGGUACCCGUACCGCAAACCGACACAGGUGGGUGAGGAGAGUAUCCUAAGGCCAGCGAGAGAACUGUUGUUAAGGAACUCGGCAAAAUGACCCCGUAACUUAGGGAUAAGGGGUGCCACCAUCCGGUGGCCGCAGAGAAUAGGCCCAAGCGACUGUUUACCAAAAACAUAGGUUUCUGCUAAGUCGCAAGACGAUGUAUAGGAGCUGACGCCUGCCCGGUGCUGGAAGGUUAAGGGGAUCUGUUAGAGUAAUCGAAGCAGUGAACUUAAGCCCCAGUAAACGGCGGCCGUAACUAUAACGGUCCUAAGGUAGCGAAAUUCCUUGUCGGGUAAGUUCCGACCCGCACGAAAGGCGUAACGAUUUGGGCACUGUCUCA
Molecule: ribosomal RNA, 922 nt
Filed under: Clostridioides difficile
Lineage: Bacteria; Bacillati; Bacillota; Clostridia; Peptostreptococcales; Peptostreptococcaceae
Description: partial 23S ribosomal RNA
Rfam family: Bacterial large subunit ribosomal RNA
Source: RNAcentral